This 613-nucleotide ribosomal RNA is filed under the name Microbacterium sp. RNAcentral's name for it is "bacterial SSU rRNA". It matches the Rfam family "Bacterial small subunit ribosomal RNA", at positions 122 to 748 of the family's 1533-position model. The record is from RNAcentral. Lineage: Bacteria; Bacillati; Actinomycetota; Actinomycetes; Micrococcales; Microbacteriaceae.
CAACCUGCCCCUGACUCUGGGAUAAGCGCUGGAAACGGCGUCUAAUACUGGAUAUGAGCUGCGACCGCAUGGUCAGCAGCUGGAAAGAUUUUUCGGUCUGGGAUGGGCUCACGGCCUAUCAGCUUGUUGGUGAGGUAAUGGCUCACCAAGGCGUCGACGGGUAGCCGGCCUGAGAGGGUGACCGGCCACACUGGGACUGAGACACGGCCCAGACUCCUACGGGAGGCAGCAGUGGGGAAUAUUGCACAAUGGGCGAAAGCCUGAUGCAGCAACGCCGCGUGAGGGAUGACGGCCUUCGGGUUGUAAACCUCUUUUAGCAGGGAAGAAGCGAAAGUGACGGUACCUGCAGAAAAAGCGCCGGCUAACUACGUGCCAGCAGCCGCGGUAAUACGUAGGGCGCAAGCGUUAUCCGGAAUUAUUGGGCGUAAAGAGCUCGUAGGCGGUUUGUCGCGUCUGCUGUGAAAUCCCGAGGCUCAACCUCGGGUCUGCAGUGGGUACGGGCAGACUAGAGUGCGGUAGGGGAGAUUGGAAUUCCUGGUGUAGCGGUGGAAUGCGCAGAUAUCAGGAGGAACACCGAUGGCGAAGGCAGAUCUCUGGGCCGUUACUGACGCUG